This 161-nucleotide ribosomal RNA is filed under the name uncultured bacterium. RNAcentral describes it as "partial 16S ribosomal RNA". It matches the Rfam family "Bacterial small subunit ribosomal RNA", at positions 330 to 509 of the family's 1533-position model. The record is from RNAcentral.
AGAGAGCUCCUACGGGGGCAGCAGUGGGGGAUAUUGCACAAUGGGGGAAACCCUGAUGCAGCGACGCCGCGUGGGUGAAGAAGCGCCUCGGCGCGUAAAGCCCUGUCAGCAGGGAAGAAAAUGACGGUACCUGAAGAAGAAGCCCCGGCUAACUACGUGCC